ACUUAUUUUUACUCUUAUAUUGUAUAUAUAUAUAAUAUAUAUUAUUUAUUUACUGUGUGAUCAUUAGUGUAGCUACGCAAAUUUACAUAUACAUGAUAUAUAUUUGGCUGCAUAGCUAUAUAAUUAUGACUACGCAGAUAAAUAUACACAUAUAAUAAUAAAUAAAUUUAUAUAUAUUCGUAAUUAUGAUUAUGUCGAAAAAUAUUAUGUACAUAUGUAUGUAUAUAUACAUGUAUAUGAAAAGGCAGUUUUAAGGUCAUUUUUAUUGAUAAAAAGGCAGUUUUCAAGACUUCUGGCAGUUGUCAGGUCAAUUUUGAAAUUUUGUCAUCGAAAGCGUUCAGGACCGUUCUUGACUGCGUUCCGUUUCAACGCAUGAUGCGCAUAAUGCAUUAUUCAUCCUUGUUUAACGUUUGACAAACAACAAGGAUGAACGAUGCAUCAUGUGUACCAUGCGUGAAACGGAACGUACCCCUUGUGUUUCUCAUAGGCUGCGGUCGAGUUGCCGCUACAAAUGCUUCGAAGCGUUUGAUUAACCAAUCAAAAGAAUAAGAUUUAUAAAUUGACGAAUCAAAGAAUGCUUCGAAGUAUUCGUAGGGGCAACUUGACCGCACUCACAACUAUACGAAUGUAAGCGUUUAAACGUGUAGUCAAGAGUCGCACAUCGGUUGCGAAUGUGUUAACGAAAUUUUUGAACGUGGCUGAUGCAAUCGGCUGUAUUUAUAUCUGCUAUUCCUUUUUGCAUCCUCAACUUCAGCAUUUUUAUCUAUUACAUCACGGCAUUUUUCAUUACUUAUUACGCUCAUCAUAGCUCAACAUAUAUUAUUAUACCUCAUGGUCCUAUCGUCCCAUAUCUUCGGAGGGAUUAAGAAGAGAAGUGUAAUGUCAAGAGCUGCGUUCAGUUUCACGUAUUAUGCGCAUCAUACGUGGAACAAAACGCAGCUAAAUUGUUAAGCUGCUGCAAUGCAAUAUUGUAUCUGUUGAUUGUGUGGAUCGGUGCAAACCUCAAAGAGAGGUAGAUAGCUUUUUUGGAGAUUUUAAAUAUGAUAUAGUUACGAAA
This 1057-nucleotide long non-coding RNA is filed under the name Monomorium pharaonis (pharaoh ant). Its description in RNAcentral is "uncharacterized LOC118645505". Lineage: Eukaryota; Metazoa; Arthropoda; Insecta; Hymenoptera; Formicidae. The record is from RNAcentral.